UCAGGCUCUUGCCACUUGGGCCCAAGGUACAGGGUUCAAGCCUUAUUCACUACCCACCACCAUGUACACCUGGCCCAUCUUCCGUUUCACACACCUAAGUGUCAGGUCCCGCUCCCAUCUUCUCUCUUCCGGUCGUCAGGUCCCGCUCCCAUCUUCUCUCUUUCUGAAAGUGCUGCCGCUUGCUAGGUCCCGCCUGUGUGAGUUCCCGCUCACAAACCUUAAACUGACAACGAUGAUGUCAGCACGCCUGCGACGGGACUAUUUGGACUCCUUCUUAAAGGAGAAUGUGC
Molecule: long non-coding RNA, 290 nt
Organism: Protopterus annectens (West African lungfish)
Lineage: Eukaryota; Metazoa; Chordata; Ceratodontiformes; Protopteridae
Exons: 2
Source: RefSeq, a predicted model, not a curated record